Molecule: ribosomal RNA, 404 nt
Filed under: uncultured bacterium
Lineage: Bacteria
Description: bacterial SSU rRNA
Rfam family: Bacterial small subunit ribosomal RNA
Source: RNAcentral
UGAGGAAUAUUGCACAAUGGAGGAAACUCUGAUGCAGCCAUGCCGCGUGUGUGAUGAAGGCCUUAGGGUUGUAAAACACUUUAAGCAGGGAAGAUAAUGACGGUACCUGCAGAAUAAGCCCCGGCUAACUCCGUGCCAGCAGCCGCGGUAAUACGGAGGGGGCUAGCGUUAUUCGGAAUUACUGGGCGUAAAGCGCGCGUAGGCGGACUGGAAAGUCAGAGGUGAAAUCCCAGGGCUCAACCUUGGAACUGCCUUUGAAACUAUCAGUCUAGUAUUUGGUAGAGGUAAGUGGAAUUCCUAGUGUAGCGGUGAAAUGCGUAGAUAUUAGGAGGAACACCAGUGGCGAAGGCGACUUACUGGGCCAACAUAGACGCUAAGGUGCGAAAGCGUGGGGAGCGAACGGG